RNA transcript from Sapajus apella (tufted capuchin), 6166 nucleotides. It is a transcript of the gene named adhesion G protein-coupled receptor F5, with no coding region annotated. The record is from RefSeq and is a predicted model, not a curated record. The transcript is spliced from 23 exons. NCBI's taxonomy places the organism in Eukaryota, Metazoa, Chordata, Mammalia, Primates, Cebidae.
UUGGUGGAGAGGUUUCCAGAUAAGAAGGAUCUGAAGGACUUCCCAUGGGCGUGAGGGAAAUUGCACACGCCAUCCGGGGAAGAGGACCAGGAAGUCACUUUUUGUUUUUAAAAUAGCAGUGCGGCUCUCAGGGAUGACUCUGUGAGGCUCGGAGGAUCACAGCUGGGGGAGGAUCACAGCUGGGGGAGGCCCCAGUGAGGCUGAGUGUGGGAGCGGAACUGCCAGUCCUGCCUAAAAACUCGAAAUGAGUCUUGCUUGGUUCUUCCUCCGCUGGGCGUGAGGCCCCCUGCCCAGGAGGCUGCGGGACAAAUGGCCCUGUAGUGGAAACUGGGAAAAUUUUAGGCAUCUGAUCAGAGUGGGAGCCAGCAGGGGGACCACAGUGCUGGACAGCCCAACCACCUCAAACUUGAAGACAUGAAAUCCCCAAGGAGAACCACCUUGUGCCUCAUGUUUAUUGUGAUUUAUUCUUCCAAAGCUACACUGAACUGGAAUUCUGAAUCUACUAUUCAUCCUUUGCGUCUUCAUGAACAGGAACUAGCUGGUGAAGAGGCAUUGAGGCAAAAACCAGCCGUUGCCACAAAAAGUCCUGCAGCUGAAGAAUACACUGUUAAUAUUGAGAUCAGUUUUGAAAAUGCAUCCUUCCUGGAUCCUGUCAAAGCCUACUUGAACAGCCUCAGUUUUCCAAUCCAAGGGAAUAACACUGACCAAAUUGCCGACAUUGUGAGCAUAAAUGUAACAACAGUCUGCAGACUUGCUGGAAAUGAAAUCUGGUGCUCCUGUGAGAGAGGCUAUGGGUGGCCUCGGGAAAGGUGUCUUCGCAAUCUCACUUGUCAAGAGCAUGAUGUCUUCCUCCCAGGGCACCAGUGCAGUUGCCUUAAAGAACUCCCUCCCAAAGGACAUUUUUGUGAGCUUCAGGAAGACGUUACCCUGAACAUGAGAGUCAGAUUAAAUGUAGGCUUUCAAGAAGACCUCAUGAAUACUUCCUCUGCCCUCUAUAGGUCCUACAAGACCGACUUGGAAACAGCGUUCCGGAAGGGUUAUGGAAUUUUACCAGGCUUCAAGGGCGUGACUGUGACAGGGUUCAAGUCUGGAAGUGUGAUUGUGACAUAUGAACUCCAGACUACAGCACCAUCACUUGACCUAAUUCAUAAAGCCAAUGAGCGAGUGGUACAGAGCCUCAAUCAGACCUACAGAAUGGACGAAAACUCCUUUCAAGCAUUUAAUGGCAAUGAUAUUAAGUUAUCUGUCACACCAGAAAUCAUCUUUGAAGGGGACACAGUCAGUCUGGUGUGUGAAAAUGACAUUUUGUCCUCCAAUGUGUCUUGGCGCUAUAAAGAACAGGAGUUGGAAAUUCAGAACAGCAGCAGAUUCUCGAUUUACACUGCCAUAUUCAACAUGACCUCAGUAUCCAAGCUCACCAUCCACAACAUCACUCUGGGUGAUGCAGGUGAAUAUGUUUGCAAACUGAUAUUAGACAUUUUUGAAUAUGAGUCCAAGAAGAAAAUAGAUGUUAUGCCUAUCCAAAUUUUGGCAAGUGAAGAAAUGAAGGUGAUGUGCGACAACAAUCCUGUAUCUGUGUCCUGCUGCAGUGACAGUAACAUUGAUUGGAUAAAAACAGAAUGGAAGCAGGAAGGAAACAUAAAUAUUUCAGGAUCUGCUGAGAUACAGAUAGAUUCUAGCUGCAGCAAAUACGUCUUCAGGGUUGACAGAACCCAAUGCCCAAGCGGGUCAUCUGGAACAACCGUUGUCUACACCUGCGAGUUCAUCAGUGGCUACGGAGCCAGAGGCAGUGCAGACACAAAAGUGACAUUCACCUCUGUGGGAGAUAAUUCCAGCCAGAAAAGUGAAGUGCCCGAGGUCCUAAGGCAUGAGAUGGAAAUGAGUACAGUGCAGAGCACCACCAGGAACAGCCUAGAAACGAGUAAAGCCUGGGAGCAGCAAGCCAAUCUAACAAUAACCCCGGACCCAAUUUCUGUUUCUGAGGGACAAAACUUUUCUAUAAAAUGCAUCAGUGAUGUGAGUAACUAUGAUGAGGUUUAUUGGAACACUUCUGCUGGAAUUAAGAUACACCAAAGGUUUUAUACCACGAGGAGGUAUCCCGAUGGAGCAGAAUCAGUACUGACAGUCAAGACCUCUACCAGGGAGUGGAAUGGAACCUAUCACUGCAUAUUUAGAUAUGAGAAUUCAUACAGUAUUGCAACCAAAGACGUCAUUGUUCACCCGCUGCCUCUAGAGCUGAACAUCAUGGUUGAUCCUUUGGAAGCUACUGUUUCAUGCCGUGGUUCCCAUCACAUCAAAUGCUGCAUUGAGGAGGACGGAGACUACAAAGUUACUUUCCAAAUAGGUUCCUUGUCCCUUCCUGCUGCAAAAGAAGUUAAAGAAAAACAAGUGUGCUACAAACACAAUUUCAAUGCAAACUCAGUUUCCUGGUGUUCAAAAACUGUUGAUGUGUUUUGUCACUUUACCAAUGCUGUUAAUAAUUCAGUCUGGAGCCCAUCUAUGAAGCUGAAUCUGGUACCUGGGGAAAACAUCACAUGCCAAGAUCCCGUAUUAGGUGUUGGAGAGCCCGGGAAAGUCACCCAGAAGCUAUGCCAGUUCUCGAACAUUCCCAGAAGACCUGGCAGUCCUGUUGGCGGGAUUAUCACUUACAAAUGUGUAGGCUCCCAGUGGGAGGAGAAGAGAAACGAUUGCAUCUCUGCCCCAAUAAAUAGUCUGCUCCAGCUGGCUAAGGCUUUGGUCAAGAGCCCCUCUCAGGAUGAGAAGCUCCCUACAUACCUGAAGAAUCUUUCUAUUAGCAUAGACAAAGUUGAACAUGAAAUCAGCUCUUCUCCUGGGAGUCUGGGAGCCGUUAUUAACAUCCUUGAUCUGCUCUCAACAGUUCCAACCCAAGUAAAUUCAGAAAUGAUGAUGCAUGUGCUCUCUACGGUUAAUGUCAUCCUCGGCAAGCCCAUCUUGAACACCUGGAAGGUUUUACAACAGCAACGGACCAAUCAGAGUUCACAGCUACUGCAUUCAGUGGAAAGAUUCUCGCAAGCAUUACGGUCGGGAGAUAGCCCUCCUUUGUCUUUCUCCCAAACUAAUGUGCAGAUGAGCAGCAUGGUAAUCAAGUCACCAGCAAACCUAAAAACCUAUCAACAGAAAUUUGUUUUCUCAGAUUCUGACCUCUGGGGCAAUGUGGUCAUUGACAAGAGCCAUCUAGAAAACUUGCAGCCGGAUUCAUCUGUUGUCACCAUGGCUUUCCCAACUCUCCAAGCCAUCCUUGCCAAGGAUUUCCAGGAAAAUAACUUUGCAGAGAGCUUAGUGAUGACAACCACUGUCAGCCACAAUAUAACCAUGCCAUUCAGGAUUUCAAUGACUUUUAAGAACAGCAGCCCUUCGGGUGGGGAAACAAAAUGUGUCUUCUGGAACUUCAGCCUUGCCAACAACACAGGAGGGUGGGACAGCAGUGGAUGCUAUGCUGAAGAAGGUGAUGGGGACAAUGUGACCUGCAUCUGUAACCACCUAACUUCAUUCUCCAUCCUCAUGUCCGCUGACACCCCAGACCCUAGCUCUCUCCUGGGAAUACUACUGGAUAUUAUUUCUUACGUUGGGGUGGGUUUUUCCAUCUUGAGCUUGGCAGCCUGUCUAGUUGUGGAAGCUGUGGUGUGGAAAUCAGUGACCAAGAACAGGACUUCCUAUAUGCGCCACACCUGCAUAGUAAAUAUUGCUGCCUCCCUUCUGAUUGCCAACACCUGGUUCAUCGUGGUCGCUGCCAUCCAGGACAAUCGCUACAUACUAUUCAAGACAGCCUGUGUGGCUGCCACCUUCUUCAUCCACUUCUUCUAUCUCAGCGUCUUCUUCUGGAUGCUGACGCUGGGCCUCAUGCUAUUUUAUCGCCUGGUUUUCAUUCUGCAUGAAACAAGCAGGUCCACUCAGAAAGCCAUUGCCUUCUGUCUUGGCUAUGGCUGCCCGCUUGCCAUCUCGGUCAUCACGCUGGCAGCCACCCAGCCCCGGGAAGUCUACACGAGGAAGAAUGUCUGUUGGCUCAACUGGGAGGACACCAAGGCCCUGCUGGCUUUCGCCAUUCCAGCACUUAUCAUUGUGGUGGUGAACAUAACCAUCACUGUUGUGGUCAUCACCAAGAUCCUGAGGCCUUCUGUUGGAGACAAACCAUGCAAGCAGGAGAAGAGCAGCCUGUUUCAGAUCAGCAAGAGCAUUGGGGUCCUCACGCCACUCUUGGGUCUCACUUGGGGUUUUGGUCUCACCACUGUGUUCCCAGGGACCAACCUUGCAUUCCAUAUCAUAUUUGCCAUCCUCAAUGUCUUCCAGGGAUUAUUCAUUUUACUCUUUGGAUGCCUCUGGGAUCUGAAGCUUCUUUUAAAUGAUGCAGGUACAGGAAGCUUUGCUGAGUAGGUUUUCAUUGUCGAGAUGGUCUUCACAGCACUCAAAGUCAACAUCCCUGGGUUCAUCCACACCUGUGUUUUCUAUGAGUUCUCCAAUAUCAAGAAGAUUUAACAAUUUGUUUGGUAAAACAGCAGCCCCUAAGGUACCCCCAGGCCAUGAUGGAAACCUUGUUAGCGGUGGCAGUUCAGCAAUCUGAUGGAACGUAUAAUGUUUCCACACCAGAAACAACCAGCUCAUCCGUGGAAAACUCAUCCAGUGCUUAUUCUUUGCUCAACUAAAAACAGGAAAAUCCAACCUAUGUGACCUCCAGGGGACAGUGGAUAUGCUUUUAAAAAGAGAUUUUUUGCAAAGCAAUGGGGAACAUGUUCUCUGGGCAGGUUUCCGGGAGCAAAUGCAGAAAAGACUUUUUUUUUAAUAGAGGAGAGGUGUUUUUUGGUAAGACAGACUAAAAGUAAUUGUUAUGUUUAUGUUUGUUCCCUCCCCCUCCCCCUUGUGUGAUACCACAUAUGUAUAGUAUUUAAGUGAAACUCAAGACCCCCAAGGCCCAACUUCUCUGUUUAUAUUGUAAUAUAGAAUUUUAAAGAGACAUUUUCACUUUUUACAUAUUGGGCACAAAGAUAUGCUUUGAUUAAAACAGUAAGUAAAAGGCUAGUACAUAGGAAAUAGUUCAGUGAAUUGUAAGAAGGAAGGAAGGAAGGGAGGGAGAAAGGGACGGAGGGAGGGAGGAAAAGAAGAAGAAAGGAAAAAAGAAGAAAAAGAGAAAGAUCAAAAUAGGAACAAAUAAAGGGAAACAACAUUAAGGGCCACAUUUUAAGAUUUCCGUGUUAAUGAUCUAGUAUAAUCACCGAGAUAGUACAACACUGAUAAUUAUUUUUUAAUGGCUCAAAAAUGGAAAUGGAAAGUAGUCAUAGAGAAGGGAUACUUUGGGAAAUAUCUUCCUGAUGUCUUCUUAGCUAAGAGUAGGGAAAAAAAAGGCUGAAAAAUAGGGAGGAAAUUCUUUCAUCAGAACGACUUCAAGAGGAUAAUAAUAUUUAUAAGAAAUAAAUGGAAGGAAAUAUGAUUCUCCUGAUGCUAAACACAUAUUGUAUGUUAAGAUUUGAACUAAGUAGAAUGUAUCUGCAGAGGAAGUGUGAUAAAGAUACGUCAUUAGAUCCAAGUGCUGAUUAAAUUUUUAUAGUCUAUCAAAAAGCUAUAAAACACAUUUUAGUGUGUUCCACAUUUUAAAAGCAAAAAAUAUAUAUUUUAUACACCUUUCAAUUGCCAAAUUUGAGACAUUUGCACUGAAAACAGACCUUAACUGUCAUAUAUUUCAUGGCUUUAAGCAGGUACUUCUCUGUGCAUUAUAGAAUAUAUUUUAAUAAUCUUAUAACAUUGUACAUUACUAUUGCUGUUGUCACCAUCAUUGUUACAGUGGAUAAUGGCCCUUGGUGUGUUGUAUAGCUCCCUAUGUAUUCUCUCUUUCUACCUUUAAGUUCCCAGGCCAAUACACAUUAAGAGUUUUGCGUGGUCUAAGUUGUGUUUAUUCCAACCACUUGGAAAGCUUCUGGAAAGAAUUUGUACAUUUGGCUGUUCUGUGCUCCUAAUGACACUUGACUUUGAUGAACAAAUGGUAGAGUUUCCCAAGGAUUUGAUCGUGAAUUAUCCGCAUGUGUGAUUUUUUUGGUGUGUAUGUAUUUCAUUAAAAAAUAUAAAUAUUUAUGAAAAUUGCAUCCUUAUUAGAGUUAACCGUGUGCCAGCAAUACAGCAACCCUACAUUGCAAAUAAAAGUCUGAUCCCAAAAGGA